RNAcentral lists this ribosomal RNA (766 nucleotides) under uncultured Ascomycota. RNAcentral describes it as "LSU rRNA". It matches the Rfam family "Eukaryotic large subunit ribosomal RNA", at positions 399 to 1186 of the family's 3401-position model. Lineage: Eukaryota; Fungi; Ascomycota. The record is from RNAcentral.
GUGAAAUUGUUGAAAGGGAAGCGCUUGCAACCAGACCUGCCUGCAGUUGCUCAUCCGGGCUUUUGCCCGGUGCACUCUUCUGCUGUCAGGCCAGCAUCAGUUCGGGCGGUCGGAUAAAGGCUUCGGGAAUGUAGCUCCUCUCGAGGAGUGUUAUAGCCCGUUGCGAAAUGCGGCCAGCCUGAACUGAGGUCCGCGCUUCGGCUAGGAUGCUGGCGUAAUGGUUGUAAGCGGCCCGUCUUGAAACACGGACCAAGGAGUCUAACAUCUGUGCGAGUGUUUGGGUGUCAAACCCGUACGCGUAAUGAAAGUGAACGGAGGCGGGAACCCCUCGGGGUGCACCGUCGACCGAUCCUGAUGUCUUCGGAUGGAUUUGAGUAAGAGCAUAGCUGUUGGGACCCGAAAGAUGGUGAACUAUGCCUGAAUAGGGUGAAGCCAGAGGAAACUCUGGUGGAGGCUCGCAGCGGUUCUGACGUGCAAAUCGAUCGUCAAAUUUGGGCAUAGGGGCGAAAGACUAAUCGAACUAUCUAGUAGCUGGUUCCUGCCGAAGUUUCCCUCAGGAUAGCAGUAACGUUUUCAGUUUUAUGAGGUAAAGCGAAUGAUUAGAGGCCUGGGGGUUGAAACAACCUUCACCUAUUCUCAAACUUUAAAUAUGUAAGAAGUCCUUGUUGCUUAGUUGAACGUGGACAUUUGAAUGUAUCGUUACUAGUGGGCCAUUUUUGGUAAGCAGAACUGGCGAUGCGGGAUGAACCGAAAGCGGAGUUAAGGU